UAUAAUUGCGCCCCUGCAGGUGUCCGGCCUGUCAAUGACAAGGCCGGGUGAAACGGGAAGCCGGUGACAAUCCGGCGCUGCCCCCGCAACGGUAAGGCCUGAUCGCGCGCCGCGCGAUCCAGGAGCAACAACCGCCACUGUCCAUCAGGACGGGAAGGCGUUGCCCCGCAAGGCCGAGCCCGGAGACCGGCCUGCAAUGGACGCGGCGG
RNAcentral lists this non-coding RNA (209 nucleotides) under Vogesella sp. EB. The record is from RNAcentral. RNAcentral also lists the same sequence under 1 other name. Lineage: Bacteria; Pseudomonadati; Pseudomonadota; Betaproteobacteria; Neisseriales; Chromobacteriaceae.